Otolemur garnettii (small-eared galago) is the source of this 2429-nucleotide long non-coding RNA. RefSeq lists it as uncharacterized. Lineage: Eukaryota; Metazoa; Chordata; Mammalia; Primates; Galagidae. The transcript has 3 exons. The record is from RefSeq and is a predicted model, not a curated record.
UACCACAGCAAGGGGGAAGGAAGGAGUACAGUGCCACAGGACAGCCAGUCUCUGACAAGGAACCUCAUCUAAGGAGCAUGAACCUCUCUAUCCCAUUCUACUUGGAAAGUCCAGGAGUAGAUUGGGCUUCCAAUUCUGACUUUUGGGCUGAAACUGAGCAAAACCCCAACAGCUGUAAGGAAUGAGGGGCUCCCGUUCUACUCAAACAAGGACACAGUUUUCUCAAGGAAGACAAAACAUUUGGAGAUGCCGCAAAUGAACCUCAUCCCAAGGUUUACAGCCACCUUCGCUGAUAAGAGCACUUCCGGAGACACUACCCACUGGCACACCCUGGGACAACAGUCUGUCCUGAAGGAAUGUGCUUGCUGUUGUGGCUUUUGAGACAUCAUCAGCCUGUGAGGAGGAAAAGACAUCCAAACCUAUAAGCCUCCGGGGCUUUGCUCCAGAGUCUGAUUAGCCGGAGCCCUGUGUGCACUCGCUGGGAAGGGUGUCUGGGGUCAGGGCAUCUGAGUCCCAGCAAGCUUAUACUGAGGGGUGGGGCAGGCAGGACUUACUGGCCUAAAAGAAGAGAAGCUAUACGUGUGACAUAACAGUUCAUCCUAGGAAAUGACAGGGCAGCUGGUACAUGACUAUAUAAACAUAUAGCCCAGAACCCCCCAAAUUCUUCCAGACAGCCCGGUUAAAAUAAACUAAAACGCAACUAUCCUAGAAAUCAUCUCAAGAAUUUGUGCCUAAAGAAACAGCAGGUGGCAGCAAAGCUUUACAUUUUUUAGCCAUUGGUCUGGAAUGAAAACAAAGUGUCACGGAAUAAUCCCCUCACCCUCUGAGUCAGCCAGCUGGCCCAGAAACUGGCACACUGCCAUCUUUCAAUCUGCAAAGUAUAGAGUCUUCUCGGCUGGACUCUGUGCGUUUUGACAAGAGGACCCAGGAAAAAAGUUCUCCUCUCCCUACCCCCAAGCCAGAGGCCUGCCUAGUUCUGCAGGCUGGGCAGGAAAGAGACUACCACAGGCUGGCAGAUCACAAAGACUGUGGCCUUGAGUCUCAGAGUCCUUUUCCCAAUAUCAAGGUGCUGCUCAUUUGCAAUGAGAAGAGUCGCAAAGGAACCUGAGUAUGAUUAAGGGGAAGCAGGUCUAAGAACUAAGGAUACACCUCACAACAUGUUCCCCAUUUAUUGUGAUGGAAUCCAUGGCAGAAAUGUGGUGGCAGAGAGAGAUGGGGGGCAGGGAAGUGAAGCUAAUAUAUCUGGUUUCUGGUGCACCUAGACUUUUAGAGACCUCUGAAAGCUACUUCACCACCCCACAGCUGUUGUAACUCUUGGACAGUGCCAAGACCACUGUCUGGUAUGGCCUCAAGUAUCUCCCUUGACUUAGUAUUGUGGUUGGCUCCCAACUUCCAAGUUGGGACUGGAAAAUUUCCAUUGCCACAGCGCAGCACUGGAGUUUAGAACCUAGCUUUUGGCAGAGGAAAUCCAGUUUUGUCGUUAAGAAGUGACUGGUCCGUUUAGUUUAACCUAAAAUGGUGCUUCAGAACUCUCUCAGGCACACUUUGGAUCAAACUACUUAAUUUCCUCCAAGGAGGAAACUCUCUUACUGAUUAAAGUAAGAGCAGGGCUGGGGAGGGGAAUGCUGGAGGAUUUGGCAUUGUUAUUAUUUUAAAAAGUAAAAGACUUGUUCAGGAAAAAGACAAAAUUAAAGACCUUGUUUCCAAGAUUGUAAACAGAUCAUACAAACAGGUGUAUUUAUGGGUUUUCUUUCUACAAGUGGAGUUGAAAGAAAAGUGAGUAGCUUUGGCCUUUUAUAAGUUAUAUAUUAAAUCCACAGCAACACAGCUCCUGAUGAUCAAAAAGAACAUUCCUGAAAGGUGUAGUAGAAGCUCAUUGAUUUAUGUGAUUAUUUUUCUUUUCUGAAAAUAUGAUUUUGUUCUGACAUCUUAAGAACAAACUUCCCAGGACUCUACAUAGAAAAGGUCCUUUAAAAUUAUCUAGUAAGGAAAACAUUCUGUAAUUCCUUUGAAUGCAAUAAACAAUAUCUUUUGAGGCAACUUGCAGCAUAUGUUCCAAAAUUCAUAUCAGCAUUUAAUUCCUCCUUUGUAUGUAUGUUCUACACUCGCCAGAAUGAGGUUAAAUCAUUUAAUGCAGAGAAUUGACAGCACCAGGAAAAUAUUUGGAUUGACUGUCUGGAGUUGCCAUUAUUGGCUUUAAUUAUGACCUACUGGCUCUUGGGUCCUGAAGCAGCCAGAAAAUGAGAUACGUGUGCCAAGAUAUUCAUUAGAAUUCCCUCCUCAGUCAUUGUUCAGAAAGAACAAGUUUCUUUCUGGCUCCCAUCUACAGUGUUUUAAGUGAAGUCAUUAAUAUGCCAGAUUUUUUAAAGGCUCAGUCAGUAAACAAGAUUAUGUGCAUACCUUGUAUUUUGCGUUAAAAUAAAAUCUUG